UACGUAGGGUGCAAGCGUUAAUCGGAAUUACUGGGCGUAAAGCGUGCGCAGGCGGUUAUGCAAGACAGAUGUGAAAUCCCCGGGCUCAACCUGGGAACUGCAUUUGUGAUUGCAUGGCUAGAGUACGGUAGAGGGGGAUGGAAUUCCGCGUGUAGCAGUGAAAUGCGUAGAUAUGCGGAGGAACACCGAUGGCGAAGGCAAUCCCCUGGACCUGUACUGACGCUCAUGCACGAAAGCGUGGGGAGCAAACAGG
This 253-nucleotide ribosomal RNA is filed under the name uncultured bacterium. RNAcentral describes it as "partial 16S ribosomal RNA". It matches the Rfam family "Bacterial small subunit ribosomal RNA", at positions 524 to 776 of the family's 1533-position model. The record is from RNAcentral.